RNAcentral lists this transfer RNA (77 nucleotides) under Arcicella aurantiaca. RNAcentral's name for it is "tRNA-Met". It matches the Rfam family "tRNA". Rfam says of the family: Transfer RNA (tRNA) molecules are approximately 80 nucleotides in length. The record is from RNAcentral. Lineage: Bacteria; Pseudomonadati; Bacteroidota; Cytophagia; Cytophagales; Flectobacillaceae.
AGUGGGGUAGAGCAGAUGGUCAGCUCGCCAGCCUCAUAAGCUGGAGGUCGGAGGUUCGAGUCCUUCCCCCGCAACAA